GUCUGUUCAUUCUUUUUUGUUUUCUUUAAUGCGUGUUUUUUUUCAAAUUUCGUGAACCUUUUUUCUAAAUUGAUGAAAGUUUUAAAUUAGAUUAUUUUGUUUCAAAUUCGAUGAACUUUUUCUUAAAUUUGAUGAACUUUUUUCCUAAUUCGUGGUAUUUAAAAAAAAUUGUUUUCUCCAAAAAAUCACUUUUUUUUUUCUGAAAUGCGUGUCCAAGAAAUAGCACGGCUACGUUUUGAACAUUUGGCGCUGUAAUCAAUCAUUCACUAGCUCCCUGUAGCGUGGUAAGGCACUGUGCACUGUAACUAAUCGGUGCGGCCGAGCAGGCCUUCUCGAAUGCCGGCCCAGAUUAUAGGUAGCGCAGACCAGAAGGCGGAAAACCGACGGUACGUCUUCGCACGGUGCCGUGCUCUCUCGUAUCCUCUUCUGUCUUCUCCAACGGUCCAAAGCGGCACGCGGCGUCCGCCGAGAUCCGCGAGGGCGCGGCCCGCGGCCGGAGAGGGUCUGGGCGUGUUCCGGCUACAGGCGAGCGGCGCGUGGGGGUAUCGGGUGGUGGGGCGGAUGCGCACGGACACGCACCCUGGGUGGUGAGGCGGAUGCGCGCGAACGCGCACCUCGACGACGACGACCGCAGGCGCUCUUCGACUCGGCGCCGGCAAGAUCGACGGGAUCAAGAGCCUCCUCACCGCCCUCGUCGAAAGCAGGUGGUCAAGAGAAAACGUGGCGGCGCGGUGGCCGGAGAUGAAGAAGCUCGUCUUGCUUCGCGGCUAACUACUAGGAUGCAUAGUAAGAAAAUACGUAAUGAAUCUGACUAGAGAUGUUAGAGGAUAAGUGGCUGAUAUGAUUGAUACAACAGGAACUAUUGCCAAAGGAGCUAAGCUGCUGCUGCAUCAAGGAGCAAGAGAAGUUUAUGCAUGCUGUUUUUGGCCAUCGAGAGAUUAUAAAUUGGGUUGUUUCAAGAAGUAAUCAUGACGAAAUCACGAACACUAUCCCGUCAAAGACGCAUUGAAGACUUUGCUGAGCGAGGCAAG
Molecule: non-coding RNA, 1031 nt
Organism: Aegilops tauschii subsp. strangulata
Lineage: Eukaryota; Viridiplantae; Streptophyta; Magnoliopsida; Poales; Poaceae
Source: RefSeq, a predicted model, not a curated record